RNAcentral lists this transfer RNA (113 nucleotides) under Eutypa lata. RNAcentral describes it as "tRNA-Leu". It matches the Rfam family "tRNA". From Rfam's summary of the family: Transfer RNA (tRNA) molecules are approximately 80 nucleotides in length. Their secondary structure includes four short double-helical elements and three loops (D, anti-codon, and T loops). Lineage: Eukaryota; Fungi; Ascomycota; Sordariomycetes; Xylariales; Diatrypaceae. The record is from RNAcentral. RNAcentral also lists the same sequence under 1 other name.
GUCAGGUUGGUGGAGUGGUCUAACACGUACGACUCAAGAAAAUUUAAGUUCUUGAUCCCUCAAAAGGAUUUCGUAUCUCGCAAGAGGCGUGGGUUCGAAUCCCACAUCUGACA